GGGUAUAUAGUUCAGUGGUAGAGUGUGUGCCUAGCAUGCACAAGGUCCAGGGUUCAAUCCCCAGUACUUCCA
This 72-nucleotide transfer RNA is filed under the name Camelus bactrianus (Bactrian camel). It matches the Rfam family "tRNA". From Rfam's summary of the family: Transfer RNA (tRNA) molecules are approximately 80 nucleotides in length. Their secondary structure includes four short double-helical elements and three loops (D, anti-codon, and T loops). Further hydrogen bonds mediate the characteristic L-shaped molecular structure. tRNAs have two regions of fundamental functional importance: the anti-codon, which is responsible for specific mRNA codon recognition, and the 3' end, to which the tRNAs corresponding amino acid is attached (by aminoacyl-tRNA synthetases). tRNAs cope with the degeneracy of the genetic code in two manners: having more than one tRNA (with a specific anti-codon) for a particular amino acid; and 'wobble' base-pairing, i.e. permitting non-standard base-pairing at the 3rd anti-codon position. RNAcentral also lists the same sequence under 2 other names. Lineage: Eukaryota; Metazoa; Chordata; Mammalia; Artiodactyla; Camelidae. The record is from Rfam by way of RNAcentral.